This 305-nucleotide ribosomal RNA is filed under the name uncultured bacterium. Its description in RNAcentral is "bacterial SSU rRNA". It matches the Rfam family "Bacterial small subunit ribosomal RNA", at positions 334 to 655 of the family's 1533-position model. The record is from RNAcentral.
GAUUCCCUACGGGAGGCAGCAGUGGGGAAUAUUGCACAAUGGGGGAAACCCUGAUGCAGCAACGCCGCGUGAAGGAAGACGGUUUUCGGAUUGUAAACUUCUGUUCUUAGUGAAGAAUAAUGACGGUAGCUAAGGAGCAAGCCACGGCUAACUACGUGCCAGCAGCCGCGGUAAUACGGAGGAUGCGAGCGUUAUCCGGAUUUAUUGGGUUUAAAGGGUGCGCAGGCGGCCUGUUAAGUCAGCGGUAAAAGCCCGGGGCUCAACCCCGGCGAGCCGUUGAAACUGGCGGGCUGGAGUUGGAGAGA